RNAcentral lists this transfer RNA (71 nucleotides) under Capra hircus (goat). It matches the Rfam family "tRNA". From Rfam's summary of the family: Transfer RNA (tRNA) molecules are approximately 80 nucleotides in length. Their secondary structure includes four short double-helical elements and three loops (D, anti-codon, and T loops). Lineage: Eukaryota; Metazoa; Chordata; Mammalia; Artiodactyla; Bovidae. RNAcentral also lists the same sequence under 1 other name. The record is from Rfam by way of RNAcentral.
UCCCAGUUGCUCAGUGGGUAAAGUCUCUGCCUGCAAUGCAGGAGACGUGGGUUCAAUCCCUAGGUUGGGAA